GCAGGCUGCAACUCGCCUGCAUGAAGUUGGAAUUGCUAGUAAUCGCGAAUCAGAAUGUCGCGGUGAAUACGUUCCCGGGCCUUGUACACACCGCCCGUCACACCAUGAGAGUCGAUAACACCCGAGGCCUGUGAGCUAACCGUAAGGAGGCAGCAGUCGAAGGUGGGGUUGAUGAUUGGGGUGAAGUCGUAACAAGGUACC
This 201-nucleotide ribosomal RNA is filed under the name uncultured bacterium. RNAcentral describes it as "partial 16S ribosomal RNA". It matches the Rfam family "Bacterial small subunit ribosomal RNA", at positions 1300 to 1500 of the family's 1533-position model. The record is from RNAcentral.